UACGCAGGCGGUUAUGUAAGACAGAUGUGAAAUACCCGGGCUUAACCUGGGAAUGGCAUUUGUGACUGCAUAGCUAGAGUGUGUCAGAGGGGGGUAGAAUUCCACGUGUAGCAGUGAAAUGCGUAGAUAUGUGGAGGAAUACCGAUGGCGAAGGCAGCCCCCUGGGAUAACACUGACGCUCAUGUACGAAAGCGUGGGGAGCAAACAGGAUUAGAUACCCUGGUAGUCCACGCCCUAAACGAUGUCGACUAGUUGUUGGGUCUUAAUUGACUUAGUAACGCAGCUAACGCGUGAAGUCGACCGCCUGGGGAGUACGGUCGCAAGAUUAAA
This 330-nucleotide ribosomal RNA is filed under the name uncultured bacterium. Its description in RNAcentral is "bacterial SSU rRNA". It matches the Rfam family "Bacterial small subunit ribosomal RNA", at positions 568 to 898 of the family's 1533-position model. The record is from RNAcentral.